GCUCCUUUUCGAGAUAUUUGAUUUAUAAAAUAUGGCGGGAAAAGGCUGACUCGGACUUUUACCUUAAUUUUGCAUUGGUAUUAUUUGGGUCUCAAAUCAAAAGAAAGAAAAUCAAGAAUCUGCUUAAAUUUUGUUAAAUGACCUUUUAUGAAUUAUAAAGUCUUAUGUUAAAAGAUAAAUAGGUGUUAUGGGGCAAAAUAUUUUUACAUUGUAUCGUAUGAAAAACACCGAGGAGUCCGAACAUUUGACACUUAUUCCAAAACCUCACCUAAGUACAUCCUUAACAGCAUAAAUAUGUUUUCCUUAGGUUAACUUACUAUUUGUUAUAGUAGUACCAUCAACGUCCUUUUCUUCCGAGGGAAUGUUUUCAUGUGCACUACUUGAAACAAAAAAUAGAAAGUCAAAACAGUCUUUCGUCUGAAACUG
RNAcentral lists this long non-coding RNA (426 nucleotides) under Mytilus galloprovincialis (Mediterranean mussel). The record is from RNAcentral. Lineage: Eukaryota; Metazoa; Mollusca; Bivalvia; Mytilida; Mytilidae.